RNAcentral lists this small nuclear RNA (193 nucleotides) under Trichogramma pretiosum. RNAcentral describes it as "U2 spliceosomal RNA". It matches the Rfam family "U2 spliceosomal RNA". Rfam says of the family: U2 is a small nuclear RNA (snRNA) component of the spliceosome (involved in pre-mRNA splicing). Complementary binding between U2 snRNA (in an area lying towards the 5' end but 3' to hairpin I) and the branchpoint sequence (BPS) of the intron results the bulging out of an unpaired adenosine, on the BPS, which initiates a nucleophilic attack at the intronic 5' splice site, thus starting the first of two transesterification reactions that mediate splicing. The record is from RNAcentral. RNAcentral also lists the same sequence under 1 other name. Lineage: Eukaryota; Metazoa; Arthropoda; Insecta; Hymenoptera; Trichogrammatidae.
AUCGCUUCUCGGCCUUUUGGCUAAGAUCAAAGUGUAGUAUCUGUUCUUAUUAGCUUGAUAUCUAAUACGAAGUCUAUAUGACUUCUAGCAUAUCGAACUGAUUUUUGAAACUCGGCAUGGCGCCUGGGGCUUGCUCCGGCCUUGCCACGGGUCUUCUCUGCAUUGCAGUACCGCAGAGUUAGGCCCAAUAAUC